Molecule: long non-coding RNA, 530 nt
Organism: Gossypium arboreum
Lineage: Eukaryota; Viridiplantae; Streptophyta; Magnoliopsida; Malvales; Malvaceae
Exons: 2
Source: RefSeq, a predicted model, not a curated record
ACCUUUUAGAAAACUCAAAGUUUUGACCCUUUCUGCUAGGGUUUCAACCCAGCAAAGUGCAACCAUCAAACCACCACCAUACGGUGGACAACAGCGCACAGACAAUGACCGAUUUUGCCAACAGAGGAGAACCCCGACUAUGCCCACGGUGGUUUGGUAUGGUGGACGUGGCUUGGACGUGGUACAGGGAUGUGCGUGGAGAACGGUGGUGGAGGACGUGGGUAGUGCGUGGAGGUGGAGGCGACGCCGGCCAAAGGGAGAGCCUCAAUGCAGGGUUUGUUAUUUCUGGAAAAAAAAUUUGGGCCAUUGGGCUUGUGUAAUCAAGCCAAAAUUAUAUUUUGGGCCAACAUUUAAAACUGGGCUGUAAAAUUUGUAUUGGACUGUUAUUAUUUAUUUUUGGUUUUUUUAUUUUUUAUGUAUAUGGGCUCAGGUAAAAUUCGGGUCUUACAGCUGCCCCUCUUUGCUCGUUGUCGUGUAACGAGAAUGAAUCAAAGACCACAAAAAGGCCAAUUUUGCCCGAUCUUGCCACA